UUCUUUCUGCUGCCAAUCCAGCACUUUACAUUCUAAAGAAGAACACCAAUUUCUAAGAAAAGCCAGAGAACCAACUAACUAAAGAUAUCCUGUUUUCCUUUGUAAGUGAUUUUUAAUCCUGUCUGGAACAAAGUGGGCACACAUAUAUACAUGCAUGCAUAACAUGCUUUGGCUAAUGAAUUCUGGUAGAAAACUUUUCUCACUUAUUUUCCAUCAGUCAAGAUACAAUCGUGCUCAUUAAAUUUGAUGUAAGAAAUUGAUUUUGUGGGAAAGUUUGUUUUUCUUUUUGUUGUUUUCACCCUUUAGUGGGCAGAUCUUUGGAAAAGACCUGGAGAGGAGCAGCAGGCAGAGGUGGCUCCUUAAAAAACAGAGCAGCACUUGACCACCAUUGCCUCUCAGGCCUCCCACUGAUCCCAUUAGAGAACAUGCAGAGAGAAAUGAGGCAGGAAGAACUGGCUCACAUGUUGCUGGAUAAUGUCUCUUGAGAAGGCCCUGGACUGCUGAGACCUCUCCCAUUGCCCAGUCUAUAGUCAGAGAGGCCCCAGUAUCCCCAUGCCGCCUACCAAAAUCUCUCUGCAUUGCAACAUUAACUUGUGCCCCAGUGCUUGCCCCCGCUAAACUUCUUGGAAGUCUUCAUCUGACAGUCUUGUGUCUUCACAGUGUUGCUAUGGAGUGAGGAUUUAAU
RNAcentral lists this long non-coding RNA (685 nucleotides) under Callithrix jacchus (white-tufted-ear marmoset). RNAcentral describes it as "lncRNA (ENSCJAG00000081932.1)". Lineage: Eukaryota; Metazoa; Chordata; Mammalia; Primates; Cebidae. The record is from RNAcentral.